This 497-nucleotide ribosomal RNA is filed under the name uncultured bacterium. RNAcentral's name for it is "partial 16S ribosomal RNA". It matches the Rfam family "Bacterial small subunit ribosomal RNA", at positions 28 to 507 of the family's 1533-position model. The record is from RNAcentral.
GAUGAACGCUGGCGGCGUGCCUAAUACAUGCAAGUCGAGCGAACGGACGAUAAGCUUGCUUCCCUGAUGUUAGCGGCGGACGGGCGAGUAACACGUGGAUAACCUACUUCUAAUUCUGGGAUAACUUCGGAGAACCGGAGAUAAUACUAGCUGAUAUUUUGUACCGCUGGGAUCAAAAGUUCAUGACGGCUUUGGUGUCAGUUAUAGCUGGUUCCGCGUUGCAUUAGCUAGUUGGUAAGGUAACGGCCUACCAAGGCAACGAUGCAUAGCCGAUCUGAGAGGGUGAUCGGCCACACUGGAACUGAGACACGGUCCAGACUCCUACGGGAGGCAGCAGUAGGGAAUAUUCGGCAAUGGGCGAAAGCCUGACGGAGCAACACCGCGUGAGUGAUGAAGGUCUUCGGGUCGUAAAGCUCUUUUGUUGGGGAAGAACAGAUGUGGAAGUAAAUGUGGACAUUUUGACGGUACCUAAUCAGAAAGCCCCGGCUAACUACGUG